UGGAAAAGCAGUGAUUUUGAAUAAGAAACUCAGCCCUUAAAGUCAACCUUUUUAGAUUUUGAGCUCAGCCUUAAGUAUAACUUAGAGAGGGAAAGCAGAGAUUCCUUUUUUGCUGCAGUAAACAGUGCCCUUUAGUGGGCAAAUUGAUGGUUAGAAACUUCCCUAAUGAAAAAACACCUCUAGUUCCUCUGUAUGAGGAGUGUCUAGUUUUGACUGUAGAAAAGAUUAAAUGGAGAAAUAAUAGGGAAAGAAAUAAUAGAAAAAAAAUAGAAGAAAUAAUAGGGAAAGAAAUAAUAGAAAAAAAAUAGAAAAACUGUUACUGUUUGGGACAGCCACAAAAAAAUAUUUAUAAUGAAAAACUUAUGUCAAUAGUGCAGCCAAAGGUAGAGAAACAGAACUCCCUCUUUUGGUCAUCAUCUUCCAACUCCACAGUAUGUUUAAAUUGACAAUUCUUAUUUCCAUUCUUAAAAUUUUCUUUAGAAAUAGUAAAUGGGGCUCCAGGUUUUGCAGCUCAGUUUAUUGUUUUCUUUAUGCAAACCAAAAUGUCACUGGUUCAUAAACACCUGUAACUUCCAGUACUUUGUUCCUUAUUCAACACAAGGUAUUAUUAUGAUUGUUUUAUUCCUUCACUUUUUUUUUUUCCUUUUUAAACUAGAGAAGAAAGAGACAGUCACACGUACCAACAGAGUGAUGUGGAUCCUCCAGGAAGGCUAAUUAAAGCAGUGUGGAAAAUGAAAACUACACCAAGCUGGCAUGACCUGUACACUGGCAUCCCUCAUAUGAAGAGGGAACAUUUGGCUCUGUAUGAAGAUGCUGACUGCAGUUCAUCAUGGCUGUAGGAAGAAAUUUGGCAGAGAGGCACCUCCUGAUCACAGCAGACACAGGAGUCACACAACAGCCACUUGGACUGCAGAACUCAGGAGACUCCCGUGGCAGCUGGAAGGCAACUGGAGGCAUUUGAGAGGAGCACUUCAUAUUUUCAUCUUGGACUCUGUAUUUUACUCAGCACUUACUCUGCCUAUGACAUCCCCUGUGCCAAACUUCCAAAGGCUGUUUGGGACAUACAGUUGCUAG
Molecule: long non-coding RNA, 1074 nt
Filed under: Zonotrichia albicollis (white-throated sparrow)
Lineage: Eukaryota; Metazoa; Chordata; Aves; Passeriformes; Passerellidae
Description: lncRNA (ENSZALG00000009959.1)
Source: RNAcentral